UGGUAGCGUAGCCCGACGUCAAGGAACUGGACGGAAGAAAACAGCAACAUCAGCACAAAUGGUUCGAAAAGUAAAGAAGCGACUUGAUCGAAACCCUCGUCGCAGUUGACCGAAAAAUGGCUCUUGAGCUGAACAUAUCGCAAUAUUCCAUUCGGUAAAUAUUGAAAAAUUAGCUCGGGGUAAAGCCAUUGAAAUUCCAAAAAAGGCAAAA
Long non-coding RNA from Musca vetustissima, 211 nucleotides. RefSeq lists it as uncharacterized. The record is from RefSeq and is a predicted model, not a curated record. The transcript is spliced from 2 exons. NCBI's taxonomy places the organism in Eukaryota, Metazoa, Arthropoda, Insecta, Diptera, Muscidae.